UAUAUUUGCGCCCUUGAUAGAUCGACUAUCAAAUACAUAAGAAUCAUUUAAAAGAAAUAUUGGCAUG
Molecule: regulatory RNA element, 67 nt
Organism: Galbibacter marinus
Lineage: Bacteria; Pseudomonadati; Bacteroidota; Flavobacteriia; Flavobacteriales; Flavobacteriaceae
Rfam family: S15-Flavobacteria ribosomal protein leader
Source: Rfam